RNAcentral lists this ribosomal RNA (1455 nucleotides) under uncultured Bordetella sp. RNAcentral's name for it is "partial 16S-23S ribosomal RNA intergenic spacer". It matches the Rfam family "Bacterial small subunit ribosomal RNA". Lineage: Bacteria; Pseudomonadati; Pseudomonadota; Betaproteobacteria; Burkholderiales; Alcaligenaceae. The record is from RNAcentral.
CGAUUAUGGCUCAGAUUGAACGCUGGCGGGAUGCUUUACAUGCCGUCGAACGGCACGGACUUCGGUCUGGUGGCGAGUGGCGAACGGGUGAGUAAUGUAUCGGAACGUGCCCUGGUAGCGGGGAUAACUACGCAGCAGCCAGCUAAUACCGCAUACGCCCUUCGGGGAAAGCGGGGACCGCUUCGGGCCUCGCACUUUUCUUAAACGGCCGAUAUCGGAUUAGCUGGUUGGUGGGGGUAACGGCUCACCAAGGCGACGAUCCGUGGCGGUUUGAGAGGACGACCAGCCACGCUGGGACUGAGACACGGCCCAGACUCCACCGGGGCAGCGAAGUGAAAUUUACUACCCGGACCAAUGGAAACCCUGAUCCAGCCAUCCCGUGUGCGACAGAAGGCCUUCGGGUUAUGCACUUUUGGCAGGAAAAGAAACGGCACAGGAUAACCCCGUUACCUUCGGCGAACCACCUGCAGAAUAAGCACCGGCUGUCACCGUGCAGCAGCCGCAGUAAUGCGCGGGGUGCAAGCGUUAAUCGGAAUUGCCUAGAUAAAGCGUGCGCAGGCGGUUCGGAAAGAAGAUGCUGAAAUCCCCAGAGCUUAACUUUGGAACUGCAUUUUAACUGCAGGCUAGAGAGUGUCAGAGGGGGAGGUGGAAUUCCGCGUGUAGCAGUGAAAUGCGUAGAUAUGCGGAGGAACACCGAUGGCGAGCGGCCUCCUGGGAUCUUUACUGACGCUCAUACUGAAAGCGUGGGGGAGCAAACAGGAUUAGAUACCCUGAUCCACGCCCUAAACGAUGUCAACUAGCUGUUGGGCCUUCGGGCCUUGGUAGCGCAACUAACGCGUGAGUUGACCGCCUGAGAGUACGGUCGCAAGAUUAAAACUCAAAGGGAAUUGACGGGGACCCGCACAAGCGGUGGAUGAUGUGGAUUAAUUCGAUGCAACGCGAAAAACCUUAUAUGACAUGUCUGGAAUCCCGAAGAGAUUUGGGAGUGCUCACAAGAGAACCGGAACACAGGUGCUGCAUGGCUGUCGUCCAGCGAAGCUCGUGUCGUGAGAUGUUGGGUUAAGUCCCGCAACGAGCGCAGCCUUGUCAUUAGUUGCUGCGAAGGGCACUCUAAUGGGACGCGGUGACAAACCGGAGGAAGGUGGGGAUGACGUCUAGUCCUCAUGGCCCUUAUGGGUAGGGCUACACGUCAUACAAUGGUCGGGACAGAGGGUCGCCAACCCCGCGAGGAGCAAUCCCGGCUCCAGUCGUAGUCCGGAUCAUGAUCUGCAACUCGACUGCGUGGUCAGGAAUCGCUAGUAAUCGCGGAUCAGCAUGUCGCGGUGAAUACGUUCCCGGGUCUUGUACACACCGCCCGUCACACCAUGGGAGUGGGUUUGCGGUAGUUAGCCUAACCGUAAGGAGGGCGAUUACCACAGUAGGAUUCAUGACUGGGGUGAAGUCGUAACAAGGUAG